Non-coding RNA from Chiloscyllium plagiosum (whitespotted bambooshark), 486 nucleotides. NCBI's taxonomy places the organism in Eukaryota, Metazoa, Chordata, Chondrichthyes, Orectolobiformes, Hemiscylliidae. The record is from RefSeq and is a predicted model, not a curated record.
ACGAGAUCGGCCUCGCGCGGACAGUGAUGUUCAGUAGCUACCACGUCUUCCGUUAUACACCUGCGCGCAGAUAAUAUUCUGUUGAUUCUUCAAAGCUGAUUUGUGGCUUCUUUUAUCAUGUUUCCCUCUUGGGGUAUUUCUUCUGGCACCGAUUUUGGCCCCAAGAUUCUGCAUCCGGUCAGCAUCUUCUAGAAAUACGUCCUUUCUGAUAAACUAUUGUUACCAGCUGUCUUUGCUGUGUCUUAUUCAGGCCAAAACUCGGAACACUUGCAGAGAGGAUUUCAAUGUGUUCAUGAACUGCCACAAAACUGCUGAUUUACCACAAUUGUCUCUGCUGUGAAGAUUUCCUUCCUCAACUAGGCUGUGCUCUUGGGUCCUAGUCUCUCCAAUCAAUGGAAACAUCUUCUCAACAUUCACUCUGUCCAGGCCAUUCAGUAUUCUGUAAGUUUCAAUUUGAUUCCCCCUUAUCCUUCUCAGCUAUAUAGA